UUGUGCAUUCCAUUGAGUAUAUUUUGUAAAAGUCUCAUCCAUAAACAGCAAAAACAGUUUACAGUAAAUUACAAACCUUGAAAAUGCAAAGCAUUUUCCAAAUACAAGCAUGACAAAGAUUUGAAGGAAAUUUUUAAAAAACAAACAAAAAAAACAAGUGAACAUACAAAAGGUGUCUUAAUCAACUAUCAACAAAAAAUGUCUAUAUCUUAUGACAAGAAGAGUGGAAGGAAAUAAAGGCAACUGGCACAGAGUUAAAAGGCUAAGCAGUCAGGAGUAAACUCAAGAGACAAUGAUAGAUUUGGCAAUUUCAAAAUGAAUGAUCAUACUGUACAGUAUGAAACCGUUGUCACAGCUCCGUUUCCUUACAAAAGGAAUGUUGUUUAGUUUACUUUUAGGUUUAGAAGUGUAGACAAGGCAACAGAGAAAAGUGGAUUAUGUAUUCAAUUUCCUCCAAGUCCACUGCACAUAUACGACUCUAAACUGAGAUCCAAUGGUCACUUUCAUAAAAUAAUGAUCCGAGUACAAUAGCAAAGCAUGCCACUAUAAAAAGCUUUAAAAUAUACAGUGAUCUAUUUCACAGAUACACAGAAGAACAGAUGUAUCACUUUUCCAUAAAAAGAUGAGUUAUUAUAUAGAGCAAUCCAAGUAGAAUAGUAGUCCUAUAUUCUAGAAAAAAAUUAAAUAUACAGAUAUAGUUAAUAAGGAGUUACAAUGUGUAACCCAGUUGUGCACAACACUCAAUACAUUUAUCUACGUACUUCCAUUCAUCUUUUUGUGGUUACAUAAAAGAGGAACAUCUAGCGUGAUGGAUGUUUGACAGUUACCGAAUAUUCCAUAAGUCAGUCCCAUAAUUAUUGUUGUAAAAAACCUAUUUCAAGCUACAACUAGAGUGAUCAGUACACUGCAAUACCCAACAUAUACCAUGGACGGUAGUAGAGAAUAUACACUCACUGGCCACUUUAUUAGGUACACCUUGGACCCCCUUUUGCCUUCACCUUCCUUAAUUCUUUGUGGCAUACUUUCAACAAGGUGUUGGAAACAUUCCUCAGAGAUUUUGGUCCAUAUUGACAUGAUAGCAUCAUGCAGUUGCUACAGAUUUGUCGGCUGCACAUCCAUGAAUCCAAUCUCCCGCUCCACCACAUCCCAAAAGUGCUCUAUUGGAUUGAGAUUUGGUGACUGUGGAGGCAUUUGGAGUACAGUGAACUCAUUGUCAUGUUCAAGAAACCAGUUUGUACACUGUGGUGCUGAAGGGAUGGGCAUGGCUAGCAACGAUACUCAGGCUGUGGUAUUUAAACCAUGCUCAAUUGGUACUUAGGGGCCCAAAGUGUGCCAAGAAAGUAUCCCCCACACCAUUACACCACCAGCAGCAGCCUGAACCGUUGAUACAAGACAGGAUCCAUGCUUUCAUGUUGUUUACACCAAAUUCUGACCCUACCAUCUGAAUAUACAAACAGCAUAUUAGCUGCCCCACAAGAGACAGCAACAUCCUGGACCACAGUUACACCAUUAUAAAAGGAGCAUACCACCCUGUUCCGGCGGUAGCUUUGGGUCACUCUGAUCACUGUCUGGUCCAUUUCAUCCCCACAUACAGGCAGAAACUAAAAUCUGCAAAGCCUGCGGUUAAAACUGUAAGGAAAUGGACCAGUGAGGCAAAGCAGGAACUUCAAGCCUGUUUUGACUGCACAGACUAGUGUUUUUGAAGCUGCCAACAACAACCUGGGUAAUCUGACAGACACUGUGACAGCAUACAUCAGUUUCUGUGAGGGCAUGUGUGUGCCAACCAAAACAUUCAGGACUUUGAACAAUAACAAUCCAUGGUUCACCACCAAACUGCAACAGCUCCACCACGCCAAGGAGGACGCCUACAGGAGUUGGGACAGACUUGUUUAAGAAGGCCAGACCACACUGAACAAAGAGAUCAGAUCAUCCCGGUUCCCAAGAAGCCCUCCAUCACAGGACUGAAUGUCUACAGACCAGUAGCUCUGGCAUCUGUGGUCAUGAAGUCCUUCGAGAGACUGGUGUUGAGCCACCUGAAAUCCAUAGUAGGAUCUCUGCUGGACCCCAUGCAGUUUGCGUAUCGCCCAAACAAGUUGGCUGAUGAUGCAGUCAAUCUGGGGCUGCACUAUAUCCUGCAACAUCUAGAUGACCCUGGGAGUUAUGCAAGAAUCCUAUUUUUGGAUUUUUCACCAUCAUCCCUGAAAUCCUGUCCACCAAACUCCCCCACCUCAAUGUGUCUCCAUCCAUGUGUCAAUGGAUCACCAGCUUCCUGACAGACAGGAGGCUGUCAGCACUGGCGCCCCCCAGGGGUGUGUCCUGCCUCCACUGCUCUUCUCCCUCUACGCCAACGACUGCACCUCCAAGCACCCAGCUGUAAAACUCAUCAAGUUUGCAGACAAUACAACAGUCAUUGGCCUGAUCCAAGACAGUGACGCUCUGCGCAUAUCAGUAGGAGGUUGAGCGGCUGGUAAUUUGGUGCAGCCAGAACAACGCGGAGCUGAAUACACUGAAGACUGCGGAGAUGAUCGUGGACUUCAAGAGACAGCCCUCAUCACUGCUCCCCCUCACCAUCAGCAACAGCCCUGUGUCAGCUGUGGAGUCCUUCAAGCUCCUGAGGACUACAAUCUCUCAGGACCUGAAGUGGGAGAAGAACAUCUGCUCCAUCCUAAAAAAUGCUCAGCAGAGAAUGUAUUUCCUGCGAAGCGACAUGGCCUGCCACAGAAGCUAUUGAUCCAGUUCUACACUGCAGUCAUCAAAUCUGUCCUGUGCACCUCUGUCACUGUGUGGUUUGGAGCAGCCACGCUGUAUCAUUAUGUAGCAAUUAUCAUUUUGCACUACAGUGUUUAGAUAUUCCUUUGUAGCUUGUAAAUAUCUGUAUAUACUGUGGCUAUAUAUACUGUGGCUAUAUUAAUUUUUAUUACUAUUUUUUCCCUGUUCUUCUAUGUAAUUAUUAUUCUUUCCUUAUUCCUAGGGUGAUACCAACAGCUGAAACCAAAUUUAUUGUAUGUUGUGUGCGUACUUGGCCAUUAAAGCUGAUUCUGAUACUGAAUGUCGCAGCUGAAAUGGAGACCCAUCAGACCUCGCAACGUUUUUCCAAUCUUCUAUUGUCCAAUUGUGGUGAGCCUGUGUGAAUUUCUAGCCUCAGUUUCCUGUUCUUAGCUGACAGGAGUGGCACAAGGUAUGGUCUUCUGCUGCUGUAGCCCAUCUUCUUGGUUGUAGCAAGUGGUUAUUUGAAUUACUGUUGCCUUUCUAUCAUCUUGAACUAGUAUUCCCAUUCUCCUCUGACCUCUCACAUCAACAAGACAUUUUGGUCCACACAACUGCCACUCACUGGAUAUUUGCCUUUUUUCAGACCAUUAUCUGUAAACCCUAGAGGUGGUUGUACGCGAAAAUUCCAGUAGAUCAGCAGAUUGUUAAAUACUCAGACAACCAACUGGCACCAACAACCAUGCUACAUUCAAAGUCACUUAAAUCCCCUUUCUGCCCCAUUCUGAAGCUCAGUUUGAAAUUCAGCAAGUUGUCUUGACUCCGUCUACAUGUCUAAAUGCAUUAAGUUGUGGCCAUGUGAUUGGCUGACCGACUAUUUGUGUUAACAACCAAUCGAGCCGGUGUACCUAAUAAAGUGGCCGGUGAGUGUAUAUGAAAGUCUUCUCAUAUGCAUUUGUACAGAGUGAUAGGUGAUUGUGAGUAAUACAAUACACUUAGGUAUGCACAUCCAGUAUAAAUACUGUUUGAUGGCUAUGUACACUGUGUGUGAUUAUGAAAUACUAGAAAGAACACAAGCUACCCCAAUCCCAUUUCAUCAGGCCGAGAUAUAUUGACAGGAUGUUUUUACAUCAUGUCACAUAUGAAGUACAAAUGCACCAAUACUGUAUUUUUAUUGUGACACAGGUUUCAUGAAGUAUUGUAAAAGGUUCUGAGAACAUCUCUUAAGUCCCCUUUUAAAAAUAAUUAAGGAGGCAGUCAGUAAUUGUUUUUACUUUUCCAUAACAUAAAUGCAUAAAACAUAUGUAAACUGGGGAGUGACAGGGUUGUGGAUGAAUACCAGUUACCUUUUGCUUGAAGUUGGUAUUUUAGAUCCUGUUUGUGAAUUCUGGAACUUGUAUUUUUACACCAAUAAAGUAAGUGGCUAAUUAUUAUGAUAUAAAUGAAGUGUUCAUAUUAGUAUGUUCAAUUGAAGUCCAGUAAUGAGGAUGUUUUUCUGUUAGUACUACAGUUCUUUAUGGAUAUGACAUUUCUUGUCCUUUGUAAAUUAGUAAAAAAAAAAAGGUAGUUUGUUUUUUUAAUAAAAUAAGAAAACAACAAAAAUAAAUUAACUAAGACUGAAUUAGGCUGAACAUGAGGUAACAGUGGUACUGAAAUAUUAGGUGAAAUAUUAGAAUUCCUCUUUUUCUGUUUAAUUCAGUUGGUUUGUUUGCGAAACAGGUUAGCCUAGCACUACAUUUUUGCUAGAAUUCAUUUAUCUAAAUCGAAAAUAUUAGAUUACAGUGUAA
This is a long non-coding RNA of Amphiprion ocellaris (clown anemonefish), 4493 nucleotides long. Lineage: Eukaryota; Metazoa; Chordata; Actinopteri; Pomacentridae. The record is from Ensembl.